This 77-nucleotide transfer RNA is filed under the name Rhodospirillales bacterium. RNAcentral's name for it is "tRNA-Arg". It matches the Rfam family "tRNA". From Rfam's summary of the family: Transfer RNA (tRNA) molecules are approximately 80 nucleotides in length. Their secondary structure includes four short double-helical elements and three loops (D, anti-codon, and T loops). Further hydrogen bonds mediate the characteristic L-shaped molecular structure. tRNAs have two regions of fundamental functional importance: the anti-codon, which is responsible for specific mRNA codon recognition, and the 3' end, to which the tRNAs corresponding amino acid is attached (by aminoacyl-tRNA synthetases). tRNAs cope with the degeneracy of the genetic code in two manners: having more than one tRNA (with a specific anti-codon) for a particular amino acid; and 'wobble' base-pairing, i.e. permitting non-standard base-pairing at the 3rd anti-codon position. The record is from RNAcentral. Lineage: Bacteria; Pseudomonadati; Pseudomonadota; Alphaproteobacteria; Rhodospirillales.
GCUCCGAUAGCUCAGAAGGAUAGAGCAACAGCCUUCUAAGCUGUAGGUCGUAGGUUCAAAUCCUACUCGGAGUACCA